This 253-nucleotide ribosomal RNA is filed under the name uncultured bacterium. Its description in RNAcentral is "partial 16S ribosomal RNA". It matches the Rfam family "Bacterial small subunit ribosomal RNA", at positions 524 to 776 of the family's 1533-position model. The record is from RNAcentral.
GACGAACCAUGCGAACGUUGUUCGGAAUCACUGGGCUUAAAGGGCGCGUAGGCGGGCUCGCCAGUCUGUGGUGAAAGCCCCCGGCUUAACCGGGGAAGCGCCGUGGAUACUGCGAGUCUUGAGGAGGGUAGGGGCAUCUGGAACGCUGGGUGGAGCGGUGAAAUGCGUUGAUAUCCAGCGGAACUCCGGUGGCGAAGGCGAGGUGCUGGACCCUGUCUGACGCUGAGGCGCGAAAGCCAGGGGAGCAAACGGG